CGUCUAAAGUUUGAGAUACAUACUACAAUCAUUACUCAAAGGCAUUGUACCGAGACAUCGAAGUGGGUUUGAGCCCAACGCAUUAGGCAGUCUUCCCGCGUCUUGGUGGAUUUUGAAGGACAUGUGGGAUCAGUAGCUCUGUUUAUUAGAAAAUUGGCUUUUGCAGCUUCAAGUAUCGUAGGCCGCUUCACUUGAUGCACUGCUUUUGAAGGUCCGUUGACAAAACUUUUUAAUUAAAUUUAAUUCUCAUAAAUAUAUCUCACAUCAUAAUUCGUAGUUUUUGCUUCCUUCCUUGCAAUCACCAUAAUCUCAUUUCUCAAUCUCUCAACAUUCAGAAAUUGUUCUAGUUUUAUUCAACUUGGAGAUGAUGAUGAUGAUGAUGAAGACCCCAACUUCUAUUUCUCACAAGGACCCAACAAGAAGGAGGUUCUUUAGUUGCAGUUUCCUUUCUACCAUUGCCAUGCUUUGUGCAGUUCUCUUCUUUCGGAGCCAGUUUGUUGUCACUGAUUAAGAGGCUCAAUGCAGGCCUGAAGGAACUGAGGCACUACCUAAAGGAAUGGUUUCCAAGACCUUUGACUUGCUAAUGCAACCCUUUAUGGGGUCCCUAAAACAAAAAGGUAAGCCGUUGUUUCUGUGUUGAUUGUAGUGAUAAUCUUAAAUUUUGAUUA
Molecule: non-coding RNA, 668 nt
Organism: Malus domestica (apple)
Lineage: Eukaryota; Viridiplantae; Streptophyta; Magnoliopsida; Rosales; Rosaceae
Source: RefSeq, a predicted model, not a curated record